Juglans microcarpa x Juglans regia is the source of this 291-nucleotide long non-coding RNA. RefSeq lists it as uncharacterized. The record is from RefSeq and is a predicted model, not a curated record. The transcript is spliced from 4 exons. NCBI's taxonomy places the organism in Eukaryota, Viridiplantae, Streptophyta, Magnoliopsida, Fagales, Juglandaceae.
GUUUCAGCCUGAAGAGACUGCAAUUGAAAUUCAUUAUAUGGCACCAAACAUAUAUUGUUGUGGAGCAGGAACUACUGCCGAUACAGAGGCAAUAACGGCUCACAACUGCAAUUGCAUCGCUACCAUACUGGUCAAGAAUCAAGGUUGUCACAGCACUCACCCUCAUGAAGAAUCACCUUUUCAAGUGAAGUUUCAUUUGUUGCAGACCAAGAAAUGAAAGUUGCAUUUGAGUUGAUGUUACUGGACGUCAUCUGCAUAUAUACUGGAGAUUCUUAGGAACAAAAUUGGAUA